GACGAACGCUGGCGGCGUGCUUAACACAUGCAAGUCGAACGGAAAGGCCCUGCUUUUGUGGGGUGCUCGAGUGGCGAACGGGUGAGUAACACGUGAGUAACCUGUCCUUGACUUUGGGAUAACUUCAGGAAACUGGGGCUAAUAUCGGAUAGGAUCUCCUGCUGCAUGGUGUGGGUUGGAAAGUUUCGGCGGUUGGGGAUGGUCUCGCGGCUUAUCAGCUUGUUGGUGGGGUAGUGGCUUACCAAGGGUUUGACGGGUAGCCGGCCUGAGAGGGUGACCGGCCACAUUGGGACUGAGAUACGGCGCAGACUCCUACGGGAGGCAGCGGUGGGGAAUAUUGCACAAUGGGCGGAAGCCUGAUGUAGCAACGCCGGGUGCGGGAUGACGGCCUUCGGGUUGUAAACCGCUUUCGCCGGUGACGAAGCGUGAGUGACGGUAAUGGGUAAAGAAGCACCGGCUAACUACGUG
Molecule: ribosomal RNA, 468 nt
Filed under: uncultured bacterium
Lineage: Bacteria
Description: partial 16S ribosomal RNA
Rfam family: Bacterial small subunit ribosomal RNA
Source: RNAcentral